This 468-nucleotide ribosomal RNA is filed under the name uncultured bacterium. RNAcentral's name for it is "partial 16S ribosomal RNA". It matches the Rfam family "Bacterial small subunit ribosomal RNA", at positions 28 to 507 of the family's 1533-position model. The record is from RNAcentral.
GACGAACGCUGGCGGCGUGCUUAACACAUGCAAGUCGAACGGAAAGGCCCUGCUUGCGUGGGGUGCUCGAGUGGCGAACGGGUGAGUAACACGAGAGUAACCUGCCCUUGACUUUGGGAUAACUUCAGGAAACUGGGGCUAAUACCAGAUAGGAGCUCCUGCUGCAUGGUGGGGGUGGGAAAGUUUCGGCGGUCGGGGAUGGACUCGCGGCUUAUCAGCUUGUUGGUGGGGUAGUGGCUUACCAAGGCUUUGACGGGUAGCCGGCCUGAGAGGGUGACCGGGCACAUUGGGACUGAGAGACGGCCCAGACUGGUACGGGAGGCAGCAGUGGGGAAUAUUGCACAAUGGGCGGACGCCUGAUGAAGCAACGCCGCGGGCGGGAUGACGGCCUUCGGGUUGUAAACCGCUUUCGCCUGUGACGCAGCGUGAGUGACGGUAAUGGGUAAAGAAGCACCGGCUAACUACGUG